AACGAACGCUGGCGGCAUGCCUAACACAUGCAAGUCGAACGGUGACAGAGGAGCUUGUUGCUCUGGAUCAGUGGCGGAGGGGGGAGUAACACGUGAGUAACGUGCCCCACACUCUGGAGUAAGCGCAGGAAGGGGCGUCUACUCCCGGAUACGAGACAGCGCUGCAGGGCGAGCGUGCGGUAAGUUAUGCGGUCGGGGAUGGAAGAGCGGCCUAACGGUUCGUUGGUGAGGUAGCGGCACACCAAGGCAAGGGCGGAUAGCCGGCCUGGGCGGGCGACCGGCCACACUGCGACUGAGACAGGGCCCAGACUCCUACGUGAGGCAGCGGUGGCAAAUAUUACACAGUGAGCGCGAGCCUGAUGCGGCGACGCCGCGGUAGGGAUGCCGGCCUUCGGGUUGUGAACCUCUUUCAGCUGGGACCAAGCUGAUGUGACGGUACCUGCAGAAGAAGCACCGGCUAACUUCGUG
Molecule: ribosomal RNA, 468 nt
Filed under: uncultured bacterium
Lineage: Bacteria
Description: partial 16S ribosomal RNA
Rfam family: Bacterial small subunit ribosomal RNA
Source: RNAcentral